Molecule: small RNA, 28 nt
Filed under: Bombyx mori (domestic silkworm)
Lineage: Eukaryota; Metazoa; Arthropoda; Insecta; Lepidoptera; Bombycidae
Description: piRNA piR-bmo-1547455
Source: RNAcentral
UAAUAAAAGAAAGUGGUCGUAUGCGAGU